This 229-nucleotide ribosomal RNA is filed under the name uncultured bacterium. RNAcentral's name for it is "partial 16S ribosomal RNA". It matches the Rfam family "Bacterial small subunit ribosomal RNA", at positions 104 to 334 of the family's 1533-position model. The record is from RNAcentral.
CGGGGUGAGUAAUGUCUGGGAAACUGCCUGAUGGAGGGGGAUAACUGCUGGAAACGGUAGCUAAUACCGCAUAACGUCGCAAGGCCAAAGAGGGGGACCUUCGGGCCUCUUGCCAUCGGAUGUGCCCAGAUGGGAUUAGCUAGUAGGUGGGGUAACGGCUCACCUAGGCGACGAUCCCUAGCUGGUCUGAGAGGAUGGCCAGCCACACUGGAACUGAGACACGGUCCAG